UGGGGAAUAUUGGACAAUGGGGGGAACCCUGAUCCAGCCAUGCCGCGUGUGUGAAGAAGGCCUUUUGGUUGUAAAGCACUUUAAGCGAGGAGGAGGCUACCGAGAUUAAUACUCUUGGAUAGUGGACGUUACUCGCAGAAUAAGCACCGGCUAACUCUGUGCCAGCAGCCGCGGUAAUACAGAGGGUGCAAGCGUUAAUCGGAUUUACUGGGCGUAAAGCGCGCGUAGGUGGCCAAUUAAGUCAAAUGUGAAAUCCCCGAGCUUAACUUGGGAAUUGCAUUCGAUACUGGUUAGCUAGAGUAUGGGAGAGGAUGGUAGAAUUCCAGGUGUAGCGGUGAAAUGCGUAGAGAUCUGGAGGAAUACCGAUGGCGAAGGCAGCCAUCUGGCCUAAUACUGACACUGAGGUGCGAAAGCAUGGGGAGCAAACAGG
RNAcentral lists this ribosomal RNA (430 nucleotides) under Bacillota bacterium. RNAcentral's name for it is "Firmicutes bacterium partial 16S ribosomal RNA". It matches the Rfam family "Bacterial small subunit ribosomal RNA", at positions 355 to 776 of the family's 1533-position model. Lineage: Bacteria; Bacillati; Bacillota. The record is from RNAcentral.